This 640-nucleotide long non-coding RNA is filed under the name Homo sapiens (human). RNAcentral's name for it is "HSALNT0176606". Lineage: Eukaryota; Metazoa; Chordata; Mammalia; Primates; Hominidae. The record is from RNAcentral.
CUUAGAACCUAAUUAGGCUUCCCAACCUGCAAUCUAACGAGCUUGGUGAUGUGGCUGCCAAGUUUACAGCAGAUUCAAAGGCUGAUGGAAAUGUUUGGGGAUGAGACAGAGGCGAUGAUGGAACAACACUGUGAAGAGGUGGGUGUGCAUGUGUGCGUGUGUGUACACAUGCAUGUGUCAGACAGGCAUCCAUCCUAUCCAGGAGAUAGGAAACCAAGAAUGCAAAGACAACUCAGCAGAUCUGCUGGCAUGGAGGCGAGGCUGCAUGGAAGGAUCUGGAUUGGAUAGGAGUGUCCCAUUCAGGACAUGUGUCACUCAAAACCACACAACUCAGACUUGGGGAAUAUUCUAUGCCAGAACCACAGCACGGCUCCCCAUAAAAGUCAUCUUUAUGGACAGAUAUUUCAUGGCGGCAGCUUGAGAAGGCUCACGUUUCUUAGGCAGCUGGUGCAGAGCCAGGAGAGCUAAUCAUGAGAUCUUCCAGUCCCAGGACGUGGGCUGCAGCUGGCGGCUGUGGUCGUCUUAUAUCAAACUCUCAAGAGUCACAGGGCAGCAGCAUUGGCCCCCUCCCAAGUCAUUCCAGAUGGGAUUUAAGGUGGCUUAAUGAGCAUUCAUAAAAUACAGCAAGAGAACAUAAACU